This 890-nucleotide long non-coding RNA is filed under the name Equus caballus (horse). Its description in RNAcentral is "lncRNA (ENSECAG00000050908.1)". The record is from RNAcentral. Lineage: Eukaryota; Metazoa; Chordata; Mammalia; Perissodactyla; Equidae.
UUUACGAGGAAACUAGAACCAGCCUCCUGCUUGUGUUUUAAUUACUUAGCACAGGAAGGAUUGAUUUCAGAAAACCUCCAUGCUGAAGAAGAUAAUGAGCCCAGUCCCAGGAGGAGUUCAGGUCUUCAAAGAUUCUGGUUCCCAGACCCUGAAACUGCCUGCCAAGAAAGAAUCGCACAUCUAUCUGAGUAAUCUCUAUUUUUAUCCUGAAAAACGGAGAAAAGAAUUUCCUAAACCACUGGGAUGAGCUGCUGUUUACUAUUACCUCCAGAAUGAGGACCACUGUGUUCGUGAAGUUCCGAUGCUGGGUGCCACAGGUCACAUUCAUGUCACAAAUGCCCUCUGUGGCUCCACGUUCAGACGUUGGGUGAGCUGGCAGAGCAGACCGUCGAAGCCAUUCCUAUGGUGGAGGCUGGCCAUCCCUGAAUCACAGGUGCACGUGCCACCAACAUCCCCUAAACCCACACCAGAUGCAGCCUCAGCUUGGAUUCUUCUUCGCCAGAUCCCCAAAUGCCCACGGCCACUCCACAGCUGCCUGACCCCUGGGACACAGGGCAGAGGAGGAGGGAGAGUGGAAAGAGGCUGCAGUCUUAAACUAUUGCAGUUAGAGAUACAUAUAUUAUAUUUAUAUACGUGCAUUUUAUUAUUUAUAGUGUGUAUGGUAUAAUACAUAUUACAGGGAAAAUUUGUGACUUGUAUAAUAUUAUAUAAAGUUACUCACUAUAUAUAUAUCUACUAUAUGCAUAUAUACACCAUAUAUAUACUAUAUAUUAUAUAUAUAACAUAUAUUAUACAUUAUAUAAUAUAUAAUAUAUAUACACAUACUAUAUAUGUUGUAAACAUAUACACACACACACACUCACAGAUAUAUUGCAAAAUUGACAAAAAUA